AUCAGCAGCUUAAAGGGGAUUGUUAAGGUGGAACUGCUUUAUUCAGUGAUUGUUAAGGUGGAACUGCUUUAUUCGGUGUGUUUAAGGUGGAACUGCUUUAUUCAGUGAUUGUUAAGGUGGAACUGCUUUAUUCAGUGUGUUUAAGGUGGAACUGCUUUAUUCAGUGUGUUUAAGGUGGAACUGCUUUAUUCAGUGUGUUUAAGGUGGAACUGCUUUAUUCAGUGUGUUUAGUGGUUUUAAUCAGCGGGUCUGUUUGUGUUGGAGAGGAGGAGACCUCUGUGGAUCAUUGGGCUCCCGGUAGAAACCUCCUGAACCAUGAACACUGAAGGAAUCCUAACCGGGAGAAGCUGACUGCAAUGACGCCAAUGGUGGUGAAGACAACAACUCCCAUGAUCCCACGCUGCUUCACCACCAUAUAACUUUAUCUUGUUGUUAAUGUUUGAGUGUGAGAGAGCCCCUAGUGGCAGAAAGUACACACUGUAGCUUUAAAGAAAACAGCAGAAAUAAAGUUUCUUACUUUUGAACGUAGAUGAGGAUUCCCAGCAUGUACUGAUCCACCUCCAGACCUUCCAACAGAGCGGUUUUACUGCACACACACACACACACACACACACACACACACACACACACACACACACACACACACACACACACACACACACACACACACACACACACACACACACACACACACACAGACACACACACACACACACACACACACACACAGACACACACACACAGACAGACAGACAGACAGACAGACAGACAGACAGACAGACAGACAGACAGACAGACACACACACACACACACACACACAGACACACAGACAGACACACACACACACACACACACACACACACACACACACACACACACACACACACAGACACACACACACACACACACACACAAA
This is a long non-coding RNA of Dicentrarchus labrax (European seabass), 917 nucleotides long. RefSeq lists it as uncharacterized. The record is from RefSeq and is a predicted model, not a curated record. NCBI's taxonomy places the organism in Eukaryota, Metazoa, Chordata, Actinopteri, Moronidae. The transcript is spliced from 3 exons.